UGGGGAAUAUUGCACAAUGGGCGAAAGCCUGAUGCAGCGACGCCGCGUGAGGGAUGACGGCCUUCGGGUUGUAAACCUCUUUCAGUAGGGACGAAGCGCAAGUGACGGUACCUGCAGAAGAAGCACCGGCUAACUACGUGCCAGCAGCCGCGGUAAUACGUAGGGUGCGAGCGUUGUCCGGAAUUACUGGGCGUAAAGAGCUCGUAGGCGGUUUGUCACGUCGUCUGUGAAAUCCUAGGGCUUAACCCUGGACGUGCAGGCGAUACGGGCUGACUUGAGUACUACAGGGGAGACUGGAAUUUCUGGUGUAGCGGUGGAAUGCACAGAUAUCAGGAAGAACACCGAUGGCGAGGGCAGGUCUCUGGGUAGUAACUGACGCUGAGGAGCGAAAGCAUGGGUAGCGAACAGG
This 409-nucleotide ribosomal RNA is filed under the name bacterium. RNAcentral describes it as "partial 16S ribosomal RNA". It matches the Rfam family "Bacterial small subunit ribosomal RNA", at positions 355 to 776 of the family's 1533-position model. The record is from RNAcentral.